This 469-nucleotide ribosomal RNA is filed under the name uncultured bacterium. Its description in RNAcentral is "bacterial SSU rRNA". It matches the Rfam family "Bacterial small subunit ribosomal RNA", at positions 29 to 532 of the family's 1533-position model. The record is from RNAcentral.
AACGAACGCUGGCGGCAGGCUUAACACAUGCAAGUCGAACGCUCGGAGCGAUCCGGGAGUGGCGGACGGGUGAGUAACGCGUGGGAACGUGCCCUGAGGUUGGGAAUAACUGCGGGAAACUGCAGCUAAUACCUGAUGAGCCCGAGCAAUCGGGGAAAGAUUUAUCGCCUUGGGAGCGGCCCGCGUCGGAUUAGCUAGUUGGUGGGGUAACGGCCUACCAAGGCUUCGAUCCGUAGCUGGUCUGAGAGGACGAUCAGCCACACUGGGACUGAGACACGGCCCAGACUCCUACGGGAGGCAGCAGUGGGGAAUCUUGCGCAAUGGGGGGCAACCCUGACGCAGCCAUGCCGCGUGAAAUGAUGAAGGCCUUAGGGUUGUAAAGUUCUUUUGCCCGUGACGAUGAUGACGGUAACGGGAGAAUAAGCUCCGGCUAACUUCGUGCCAGCAGCCGCGGUUAAGGCACGACUGU